AUACAAACCAAAUGCAUCUCAUAUUAAUCUCAAAUGUGCAAUGGAGUUCAUAAAGUGGUUCAACACUGCCAAGUUACGUUCACAGAACUUGAUAGGGAAAAAAUGAUGUUCUAUAUGUAUUGUGCCUAACAACAAGGGUGAGACACAGAGAAGACUAUCAACGGUACUAACAUGAGUAAGAAGAGAGCACCAUGCAAGAGGUCAUGCAAAGGCACCAGUGAACACAGAUGAAAACCAGGGAUCACUUGGGUGAUAACAAGAAACCUGGUAAAGCCAAAGACAGACCUCAGUUACACACAGAGACUGCUUACCCUCUGCUUUAUUGGUAGUACCAUCUUUAAGCAAAUUUAAAAAGAAAUAAGGAGAGGGAUAAUAGGGAACAGUUAGUAAUAUCAGAAGAAAUGGACACCACCAGUUGGAUUAAAUAAAGUUAGUCAGUUAGUUCUUUAAACAGAAAUGUACUUUUUAUGCACCAAAAGGCAGAAUAAGCAUGAGACACAAACGGCCAAUUGCCUUUUAUUGUAUUUCCUGAUCUUUUAAUAGUAUUUCCGUACCCUUUAUUGAACUUUACCUGACUUUUAGCCUUCCUCUUCUUCUUCUAUAUCAUUUUUAAUUCUACUAUACAUUUUAUAGAUUGUUUUGUUUUGAAAUUUCACAUAGAACAAUUUAUACAGGCCUAUACGAGUAGUACAAAAGUAUUAUCAGUAACUUUUGGGCAUUCACAUAACCAUACUGCAUUUUACUGCAGAUAUAAUUGCAACAAUAGCUCCAUCUGCUGACACAAAGAAAUUAUCACAUAAAGUAUGGAACAGAUUUAAUGUAAAGUAAUAAUCUUUUCUCCCCUCUCCCUCCAAACCCCCCAGCCAAGAUCUUGCAAAAGCUUCGGGCCUCUGAAUGGCUGUGAAGGAGCUGCAAACAGCUCCUAAAUUAGCUUCCCAUGCAUCAAAACUCAUUGGAGAACAUACCAUGGAGGUCCUUUCUAACCAAGGAGAAUGAGCCUUAUAUGAAUGGGUUAACUCCUGUUGCCACCAAGACAAGUAACUGAGAGAAGCUGAAUGAAGGGAUCUACAUCAACAUCUCUAGAGGAGGAUUGAUUAGAAGAGAGGGCAGAAGCUCCUAUCUCUGAUCAUUGCUGACAACCAACCAUUCUGGUGGAAGCAACACCAUCAUCUCUUGAUUCCUGACGUAUGGUUCCAAUGAACCUUGGGCCCUGCAUUGUAAGAUGACCACACCACUGGACACUCCUUUGGAUUGAUGCCUUGGAUUUUUUACUGACCUAUGUAUUUGUGUCAUAGAUAUACAGUACGCUGUUUGUGAAAAUACAGAUGUCCCAUACUUAAUCACCUCAGGCCUCUUCUGCAGUUUCUAGAGUAAAAGGAGCCAAGUUGCCAUGAUGACAAGAGAGUAACUACCCAGAAAGCCUAACGACCCAAGCACUGCUAAAUAAAACCACAAAUAAGCUUACCUAGAGAUGCAUAUGAGCCGGGGGGCAGAGCUGCAGCAGAGCUGAAGGGGAUGUCUGAUCCGGAAGAUGUUACUUUUGAUUUGGCACUGGCUGCUGCAUUCACAUCAAUGUCACUGCGAGACC
Molecule: long non-coding RNA, 1588 nt
Organism: Sceloporus undulatus (fence lizard)
Lineage: Eukaryota; Metazoa; Chordata; Lepidosauria; Squamata; Phrynosomatidae
Exons: 5
Source: RefSeq, a predicted model, not a curated record